UCGGAAACAUCUGCCUCCCCCAGCUCGACCAUGCUUCCCCCACCCAGUGAGGCUGAGCUGCGGCUUUCAGUCUGAGCCCCUGCGGCCCGCAGAGGCUGCUGCUGGGCUGGGCCCGGGCGGCACUAGGCUCGCACCUCGGCCCGUCCCCCACAGGAGGGGCCUCGGUUUUCUUCUCUGCACGUUUGCGUUUGGGGGAGCCUCCUGCCUCCACUCACUGCCACGGAGGGACUGGGCCAGGCCCUUGAUUCAUUUGGACCGGUCCAAAGUCUGCACUCCUACUUUGGCCCCUUGCCUCUCAGACCUUCUGAGAGCUGACCCCUUGGGAGAUGAAAGUCUAGGCUCUGCCAGCAGCCUUCAAAAUCAGUCCGAGGCCAGGCAAACUUUGCAGCACUCGUUUGCAGAGCUGGGGAUCCCUCCACAGAUGUGGGAAACAAGGAAAUCCAGAGAAGCAAAAUCGGGACAAUUUAGGAAGAGAGCUGGUGUUAAAGCUGAGGGCCCAUUCUCCACACAGAAGCAAGGAGCGGUUGCUGUUUGUGAAAGCAAAACAUAACAACAAUAUCCAGAUACAAAACAAGAUGGAUUCUGCACGUCCAGUUGUCUUGUUUAAGAUGCAAACAGUAGGAGAUUGUCAUUUUCACCAUUGAAAUGUGAAGCACUGUUUCGAACCUUUGUGGGGGACUUACCAUGGGUGGGAGCUAUUGCAAUCUAUUUUAUUACUCAUUUAACCCUUAGCUCGCCAUCUGCAUCACCCUACUAUGCCCACUUAACAACACUGCAAUGGAGACAUAGAGUGAUUUGCAUGAGAUCAAAGGGGAAGUCAGGGAAUAGCAGAUGUUGGAUUUUGAAUUCCUGAAACACAGUGGCCCCAGAACCCUGCAUUUCAACCCCUUUCAUUCCACCUUCUAACACUCUUUGGCAGUUGGGUGAGUCAGAUCCUGGCCCGUCCGUCUACCCAUGCUCAAGGUUCUCUCUGACUAUUUAAAGCUACAUUAAAAAAAAAAAAAAAAACUCCCUGAAGGAGGUAGUCAAAAUAAAUAGAAUUUCUGAGAUUCAGGUGGCUUGGAUGUUAAUCAUUAACUUAGUGGUAAAGCUUUAACGGCAGCCUUUACAGCAAUGUACUCACCAGGUUUUACAUUCAAUUCAACAGUAAAAAUUUAAGUAUCUAAUCUAAGUCAGACUCCAGACACAAGCCAAGGCCCUCAGUUUUCACAUUUGGUUUGCCUUUUGUUACAAAGAUUUUGGGGUGGGGGAUAGGUUCGUUUUUUCCCCCCCAAAAGGUGGGUUCUUUUUUUUCUGAGAGGUGGUUUCAUUUCUCUCUCAGGGAGGUAACUCAGAGACCAGCUGGGCCUCUCGCCUGGCAGAAGUGUGGGGCACACUUCUGAGAGCAGGGCCUCCAACUCACAAGGUCACUUCUGCCACAGGGUGGGUCUUCUUAGCCAUUCUCCUUCAAGUCUACCUGUGUCACACCAUGCUGCAGCCUGGUGCUGGUUCCUUUUGUUUCUUUUUCUUUUCUUUUGCUUUUGUGUGUUUGUUUGUUUUUCAAGACAGGGCUUCUCUGCCUAGCCCUGGCUGUCCUGGAACUCACUAUGUAGACCAGGCUGGCCUAGAACUCAGAGAUCUGUCCCCUCUGCCUUCCAAGUGCUGGGAUUAAAGGCCUGAGCCACCACCAAUACCCCCCUCCAGGAGUCAAGGUCUUCUCUCCUUUUUCCAAGGGGCCGUGGGAUUGAGUGCUUUUCUGAGGACCACCAGAAGAAUUGUGACAGGAUACACCUGGGGUUGGGCUUGGCUUUCGUAUUUUCUGGGAAUACUCCAGCUCUACUUUUUCCCCACAAUGCAGCUUUGUAAUUUAUUAUUGUAAUGGACUAGGAAUUCAGAGCAUUGAAAAGAAAGAAAGACACCAGGUGGUCUUGCCUUAGAUCCUUCCUUGCCCCUUUGUUUCUGUAAGAGAACAGAGCUGAAGAAAGAUGUGGAGCCCAGGUUAGCCAAAGUCACACACAAUUAAUGAAGGAAG
Molecule: long non-coding RNA, 2011 nt
Filed under: Cricetulus griseus (Chinese hamster)
Lineage: Eukaryota; Metazoa; Chordata; Mammalia; Rodentia; Cricetidae
Description: lncRNA (ENSCGRG00000025419.1)
Source: RNAcentral